RNAcentral lists this long non-coding RNA (368 nucleotides) under Salvia miltiorrhiza (redroot sage). Its description in RNAcentral is "long non-coding RNA (SMIL_LNC001847)". Lineage: Eukaryota; Viridiplantae; Streptophyta; Magnoliopsida; Lamiales; Lamiaceae. The record is from RNAcentral.
AAAAAUAUAUGAAAUGCAAAAAAAAUUUGUAUCCAUUUUUUAGUUAUUAUUAUAAUUUUAUUUAUAAAGUGAAAAAAGAAAUUUAGAAGAAAUAAGAUAAAAUGCACAAAAAAGAAAUUGGGAAGAAAUAAGAUAAACGAAGGAAAAAAAUUUGGGUAGAAAUAUAUAAAAAACGAUGGAAAAAGAAAUUGGGAAUAAAUAGAUAAAACACAAAAAAAAAGUGUGAAAGAGAAAUUAUGAAAAAAAAUUGCAAUAAAAAAGGCACAAAGAAAAAGUAAAAAGUCGCAAUAAAAAUAACACAAAGGAGAAGUGUUAAUGGAUUUCGAACCCAGUAAUCCAUGGAAGCCAAAUAGCAACUUACCCAGCGG